ACGUACGCUGGCGGCACGCCUAACACAUGCAAGUCGAACGAAGUAGCAAUACUUAGUGGCAGACGGGUGAGUAACAUGUAGGUAUCUGCCCUUUGGCCUGGAAUAACACGAGGAAACUUGUGCUAAUACCGGAUAAGUCUUUACGGAGAAAGCUUUAUGCACCAUUGGAUGAGCCUGCACUUGAUUAGUUUGUUGGUGGGGUAAUGGCCUACCAAGACUGUGAUCAAUAGCUGAUUUGAGAGGAUGAUCAGCCACAUUGGGACUGAGACACGGCCCAAACUCCUACGGGAGGCAGCAGUGGGGAAUCUUGCACAAUGGAGGAAACUCUGAUGCAGCGAUGCCGCGUGAGUGAAGAAGGCCUUUGGGUUGUAAAGCUCUUUCGUCGGGGAAGAAAAUGACUGUACCCGAAUAAGAAGGUCCGGCUAACUUCGUGCCAGCAGCCGCGGUAAUACGAAGGGACCUAGCGUAGUUCGGAAUUACUGGGCUUAAAGAGUUCGUAGGUGGUUGAAAAAGUUAGUGGUGAAAUCCCAGAGCUUAACUCUGGAACUGCCAUUAAAACUUUUCAGCUAGAGUAUGAUAGAGGAAAGCAGAAUUUCUAGUGUAGAGGUGAAAUUCGUAGAUAUUAGAAAGAAUACCAAUUGCGAAGGCAGCUUUCUGGAUCAUCACUGA
This 669-nucleotide ribosomal RNA is filed under the name alpha proteobacterium IMCC15083. Its description in RNAcentral is "bacterial SSU rRNA". It matches the Rfam family "Bacterial small subunit ribosomal RNA", at positions 29 to 743 of the family's 1533-position model. The record is from RNAcentral. Lineage: Bacteria; Pseudomonadati; Pseudomonadota; Alphaproteobacteria.